UCUCUUUUCUCUCUCUUCCCUUUCACGUUUCUAUUUCUCAAAGUUCUCAUGUUUUCUCUCAAAUCCAUAACCCUAAACCCUCUUCUUUCGUCUCCUUCUCUUUCACCACAACCGCCGCCACUAUCACCACAAUCGCCGCCACUGUCAUGUCUCUUUAUUGUCAUCAACGCAACAAAAAGUUUCAACGAUUCACAUUAUAAGAUUUACCUCUACAGUCACGGUAGGAUUGAUGGUUGGCGUACGCGUAUAGAGUGUCUUGCUAGCCUUUGAAGGAGCAGCGAUAGAAAACCGAGUCAAUGGUUAUGUUUAUAUGUAGUGGGUUUAUCGUCGUAGUUCGAUCGCCGUGGCCGCCGAUCGGGUGUUUCGUCUGAAUCGGGCUACAUUCAGCGGUGGUGGUGGUGAAAGGCGUUCUUAUAAGGCUACUAUUGAUUUCUCUUAAAAGCAAUUUAAAUUGUUAUUAGUGUUGAUUACCUAUUUGUUUCACCAGUUUCUUUUCAAAUGGAAUAACUCCUCAAAGGUUUAGACACACCUAUUUAUUUGAAGCUUCAUAUGAAUUGGCAAUUUGGAAUUUGUUGAACCUGGUGUACAAUACCACCACCGACAAACCAGAAGACGACAUGAGUUACAAUACCAUCGUUGACAAGAAAAUUCAAUACUAUCGCAUGAAUCACAAUGUCGUCACCGCCACCGAAAGAUAAGUUACUCUUACAUAUUCUAUUAAUUGAUCGUAAGUGAAUAUUGAGUGUUUAUGAGUUUUGUGUCCGGGUUACCGCAAGGGAGUAUGUAAACAAAUGUUAGUGUGUAUUUUUAUUUUUUUUCAAUCUUCUAUAUUUGUUAUGUUGAUUUGCAUUAUUUACUCAAAACGUCAUAUGAGUUGUUCUAAUUCGAACUGAUCUCUUUGCAUUCUAGGGAAAUUGGUUUAUGCACGGUAGCUGUUUGUAUUAAGGUCGCAGAGAUGUCAAAAAUGAAAACUAUGAUGGUAGUGUAAAUUUUAUAUAGGAUAUGCAGUUGUAUACUUCUUCUUCAGUUGCUUCGUCAUCGGUUGUUCAGAGUUUAUAUUGUUCGGCUGAAUUGACUAGAUU
Molecule: long non-coding RNA, 1082 nt
Organism: Vicia villosa (hairy vetch)
Lineage: Eukaryota; Viridiplantae; Streptophyta; Magnoliopsida; Fabales; Fabaceae
Exons: 4
Source: RefSeq, a predicted model, not a curated record